GGGUGCGACCAUACCAGCACUAACGUGCCGGAUCCCAUUAGAAUUCCGAUGUUAAGCGUGCUUGGACGAGAGUUGUACUAGGAUGGGUGAGCCCCUUGGAAGUCCUCGUGUUGCACCCU
This 119-nucleotide ribosomal RNA is filed under the name Olea europaea subsp. europaea. The record is from RNAcentral. Lineage: Eukaryota; Viridiplantae; Streptophyta; Magnoliopsida; Lamiales; Oleaceae.